GAUGAAGAACGUAGCGAAAUGCGAUAAGUAAUGUGAAUUGCAGAAUUCAGUGAAUCAUCGAAUCUUUGAACGCACAUUGCGCCCGCCAGUAUUUUGGCGGGCAUGCCUGUUCGAGCGUCAUUACAACCCUCAGGCCCCCGGGCCUGGCGUUGGGGAUCGGCGGAAGCCCCCUGCGGGCACAACGCCGUCCCCCAAAUACAGUGGCGGUCCCGCCGCAGCUUCCAUUGCGUAGUAGCUAACACCUCGCAACUGGAGAGCGGCGCGGCCACGCCGUAAAACACCCAACUUCUGAAUGUUGACCUCGAAUCAGGUAGGAAUACCCGCUGAACUUAAGCAUAUCAAUAAGCGGAGGA
RNAcentral lists this unclassified non-coding RNA (353 nucleotides) under soil metagenome. RNAcentral describes it as "partial contains 5.8S ribosomal RNA, internal transcribed spacer 2, and large subunit ribosomal RNA". The stretch from base 1 to 120 matches the Rfam family "5.8S ribosomal RNA", at positions 35 to 154 of the family's 154-position model. The record is from RNAcentral.